This 297-nucleotide ribosomal RNA is filed under the name uncultured bacterium. RNAcentral's name for it is "partial 16S ribosomal RNA". It matches the Rfam family "Bacterial small subunit ribosomal RNA", at positions 56 to 353 of the family's 1533-position model. The record is from RNAcentral.
UGCAAGUCGAACGGCACCCCUCUCCGGAGGGAAGCGAGUGGCGAACGGCUGAGUAACACGUGGAGAACCUCGCCCCCUCCCCCGGGAUAGCCGCCCGAAAGGACGGGUAAUACCGGAUACCCCCGGGCGCCGCAUGGCGCCCGGGCUAAAGCCCCGACGGGAGGGGAUGGCUCCGCGGCCCAUCAGGUAGACGGCGGGGUGACGGCCCACCGUGCCGACAACGGGUAGCCGGGUUGAGAGACCGACCGGCCAGAUUGGGACUGAGACACGGCCCAGACUCCUACGGGAGGCAGCAUG